Molecule: ribosomal RNA, 726 nt
Filed under: bacterium Riz11
Lineage: Bacteria
Description: bacterial SSU rRNA
Rfam family: Bacterial small subunit ribosomal RNA
Source: RNAcentral
CAUGCAAGUCGAACGAUGAUGCCCACUUGGUGGGUGGAUUAGUGGCGAACGGGUGAGUAACACGUGAGUAACCUGCCCUUGACUCUGGGAUAAGCCUGGGAAACUGGGUCUAAUACCGGAUAUGACUGACUAUCGCAUGGUGGUUGGUGGAAAGCUUUUGUGGUUUUGGAUGGACUCGCGGCCUAUCAGCUUGUUGGUGGGGUAAUGGCCUACCAAGGCGACGACGGGUAGCCGGCCUGAGAGGGUGACCGGCCACACUGGGACUGAGACACGGCCCAGACUCCUACGGGAGGCAGCAGUGGGGAAUAUUGCACAAUGGGCGCAAGCCUGAUGCAGCGACGCCGCGUGAGGGAUGACGGCCUUCGGGUUGUAAACCUCUUUCAGUAGGGAAGAAGCGUAAGUGACGGUACCUGCAGAAGAAGCGCCGGCUAACUACGUGCCAGCAGCCGCGGUAAUACGUAGGGCGCAAGCGUUAUCCGGAAUUAUUGGGCGUAAAGAGCUCGUAGGCGGUUUGUCGCGUCUGCCGUGAAAGUCCGGGGCUCAACUCCGGAUCUGCGGUGGGUACGGGCAGACUAGAGUGAUGUAGGGGAGACUGGAAUUCCUGGUGUAGCGGUGAAAUGCGCAGAUAUCANGAGGAACACCGAUGGCGAAGGCAGGUCUCUGGGCAUUAACUGACGCUGAGGAGCGAAAGCAUGGGGAGCGAACAGGAUUAGAUACCCUGGUAGU